Molecule: microRNA, 21 nt
Filed under: Homo sapiens (human)
Lineage: Eukaryota; Metazoa; Chordata; Mammalia; Primates; Hominidae
Description: hsa-miR-3192-3p
Source: miRBase by way of RNAcentral
CUCUGAUCGCCCUCUCAGCUC